GACGAACGCUGGCGGCGUGCCUAAUACAUGCAAGUAGAACGCUGAAGAGCGGAGCUUGCUCUUCUUGGAUGAGUUGCGAACGGGUGAGUAACGCGUAGGUAACCUGCCUUGUAGCGGGGGAUAACUAUUGGAAACGAUAGCUAAUACCGCAUAACAAUGGAUGACACAUGUCAUUUAUUUGAAAGGGGCAAUUGCUCCACUACAAGAUGGACCUGCGUUGUAUUAGCUAGUAGGUGAGGUAAUGGCUCACCUAGGCGACGAUACAUAGCCGACCUGAGAGGGUGAUCGGCCACACUGGGACUGAGACACGGCCCAGACUCCUACGGGAGGCAGCAGUAGGGAAUCUUCGGCAAUGGGGGCAACCCUGACCGAGCAACGCCGCGUGAGUGAAGAAGGUUUUCGGAUCGUAAAGCUCUGUUGUAAGUCAAGAACGGGUGUGAGAGUGGAAAGUUCACACUGUGACGGUAGCUUACCAGAAAGGGACGGCUAACUACGUG
RNAcentral lists this ribosomal RNA (497 nucleotides) under uncultured bacterium. RNAcentral's name for it is "partial 16S ribosomal RNA". It matches the Rfam family "Bacterial small subunit ribosomal RNA", at positions 28 to 507 of the family's 1533-position model. The record is from RNAcentral.